Molecule: long non-coding RNA, 304 nt
Filed under: Mustela putorius furo (domestic ferret)
Lineage: Eukaryota; Metazoa; Chordata; Mammalia; Carnivora; Mustelidae
Description: lncRNA (ENSMPUG00000030272.1)
Source: RNAcentral
GCUGAAACUAGGGGCUGAAAUAAUUGGGAGGGGGGACAUGAAGAGUGAGUGAGGCACAGAGCUGUGCUCUCAGGAGCAGGUGGCCUUCCAGGAGACUCCAGCAGGGCAAAAGAGACAGACAUGGAGGCAGCUGGCUGGCUUGGACUGCUUUGUCCUUGGAAAGACCCACAGAAUUUUCCCCACACUCCAUAGGCUGGAACUAGUCACAUGGCCCCACAACAGCGAAGGAGACUGGGAUACAGAGUGGAGCAUGUGGAUAUUUGUUUGGCAAAGAAAUAAUAUGACAAACAGGAGGGAGAAGAAC